UCCAGGUUGCCUGAAAAAAUGUAGUCACGUAGUUUUCUUAGACGGUGAACAAGCUGUAUUACAAAGAGCAAAAAGUUUUUUCUUUUGGAGAUACACCGAAAUAUUAAAGAAAUAUUCAGAGAGCGAGACAACAUUGGUUGUGAUGGCUGAACGUUUUUUCCUGCUACUAGUCACCCAUGAGGCACGGAGCAGCCGCGUGACACAUUUUGACCAGAGGUCAGGUCCUUUUAGCGGGAACCUAAACUUCCUGGAGCUGCAUUCGAAUAUCGUUGGAUGUCGAUGCUGGAACUGGCGUGGACAGGAAGUUGGGGGAGGUACUCAAUGGUAGGGCUUCACUGCACUUACUCAGUACUUCCUCUACAGCUCUCUGUGUAGAAAAAUAGAGUUUUCAGUUACCAUGGCAUUCACAAGGUCCAAGGAGGACGACACUAAUUCAGUAUACCCCAGCUUUAUCCAUGCAAAACACCAAGACAAGCUUAAGCUACAGAAUGGUAACAGAGAUGGGACAGGACAAGGAUUCACUAUUGUGAAUAGCACAUCUUUACCUCAACCGCUUUGACCAACUCGACCAGGUCAAUUUGGCGUGACUCCACAGGCUGGGGGAUCUCAAGACUGCUCUGCUUUGCAUCCUCCAGUAAAGGCUCAACUGCGAGAAAGCAUGGAUUUGCCAGGUCAAGCGUCUGAGCCUGAGGAACUGAGAGAUGAUCUACUAGUGUGAUUUAUGCUGAUGGAAUUUACCUCUGGAUCGCUUCUUUUGUAGCAGGAAGGGUAAAUACCAGUGACCUCAGCAGACCAGCUAAUCAUCCACAUCCCACCAGUUUGCAAGUGGACCAACCUUUGUGAAGAACUUGUGGCCACGGAUAUUCUGCGGUGACGGGCGAUCCCGUGGGUCGAUUUGAAAUAUUUUGCCCAUCAGUUUCCCAGCUUCAAUACCGAGGUUCUGGGGUAGAAUAAAUUUAGCUUCUUUGAUGUUCUUUAUCAUUUCACAGCGAUCGUCGUGAUCGAAUGGGAUUUCCCCAACCAGAAGCUGGUACCUGUAGUAAGAAAGGCAGCAAAGGUGUUUGAGGUCUUUCACAUUUGACAUAAAAAUGCUGUGCUUCCAAAAGAGCAAUUCCUCUCAACUGUGUGCCAGUAUUCAUUUUUCUUUUCUAUUUCAAGUAGAAAAAAAAAACAUAUUUAUGUAUGUUAGACGCAUGUCUUCUUAAAAUGUUAGACAGAUUUUAUUAGCCAUGCUGAUCUUUGGCUGGGAGGAGGGUUGAUAGGGUAUACGUACAUGACACAGCCCAGUGCCCAGACUUCUGCUUCCGUUCCAUGGCCCUCUCGUUUCCACACUUCUGGAGCCAUGUAACAUGGAGUACCACACACUUUUCUACAACACACACAAAUGGAAAACGUUAAGCGCACAUGUGCUUUAGCUUGCUGUAUGAACAAAUUUGAAAGCUUAGCCAGGAAUUCUGCAAAAAACACCUACUUCUCCCUCGGCUCCAGCUUGACCGCCAGUCCAAAAUCUCCAAUUUUCAGUUCCAUUUUGUCAUUCACAAAUAAAUUUUCUGAAAGACAAAUGAAUUUGCAUUAAGGAUAGACUCAAAUACUUUGCCAAACUGCAGACUUUACCAAAUUGAUAAAUGAACACUACACAGAAAUCCUACACUCGCAAUGCCAUGUGAAAUGCCAGCAUUAUUAAACAGAGAAUUGAGUAAAGCGUGAGUGCAUGUACACAUACCGAACUAGAUGUCCCUAUGGACAUAACAUAUGUCCCUAUGCCGGUGGAUGUGUUUUAUCCCCGAUAUCAGCUGUUGAAUGUAGUAGCGCACUUCGGGGUCAAUCAGAGUCCCGCGAGCUUUCAGGAUGUCACCAAGUGUCUGGGCAGGGAGAAACAGGGGCAGCCUGAUCCAUCACAAAGUCUUUGCCUUACUAAGACGUCUACAAAAGUCAGGGACUCACCUGCCUACUGCACAACUCCAUGAAAAUAUACAUGAACAGAUCGUCUUCAAAAGAAUGGGAGAAGCCCACAACGUUCUUGUGCCGUGGUUUUUUUCAAAAUCUCCACUUCUUGACACACCUGAGUGAAAUAUCAAACACACCAUCUCAUCAAGUACUGUAACAGGGAAAUGCAGAUAAACUGCAAAGAGGGAUGACAUUAAGCACAAUCCAUACCACAUACCUCCUCCAGUCCCCAGGAAUGUGGAGGUAUGACCAUCACAGCAAAGGUGUCACUACUUUCAAGGUCGGUCAUCUUGUAGCACUUGCCACAAGCACCCUAAAGAACAUGUCAAUAAAGGGCAUUUCUGACUGACCCUGUUCAAGCAUCUCCUCUCCGCAGAAAAAAAUCAACUGUAAUCACUUUCAACAACAACUUUGUGGUGCACACCUGUCCCAAAAGCGGCCAAGACAGCUGGGCAAUUUGAACUUGCUAGAUGGAUUACAUCACCACAUUGAAAAUUCCAUGGACGGAAAAAGAGGUGAACUUGCUAAGACAUUGCAACAAAACACGGAUAAAAACUUUCAUUACAAUCAACUUCAUUGAAGAAAAAAAAACCCAUCUCCGUUUUGUACACCAAACAUUCAGUUUCGGUAAUGCAGUAACACAUGCUCAGGAAUAAAGACUUUUAUGUAGUGUGCAGUGACUAUCACAUCAUAUGUUACUGCGGCUCUUUAGGCACUCAGCUAUCGGUCUCACUUUGUCAUACAGAACAGGGAUUCAUUUCCUGGUGAAAAACUUCCUAUGUGGUAUGUGAUACCUCAGCUCCAAGAUGUGGAGCAGUUAUCCAUUACACCGUAAGGCUGGAUAUUUUUACAAAUAAAGGUGGCAAUGGUGUCGGUUAUUGCCUUAGAACGAGCUGUUAGCUGGCAGGGUGUGAAAAUUAGGGCGUUUAUUUUUUUUUAAGAGUUUUGUGUUAUUUGAAAGCAUUGUGAAAUGUAAAAAAAAAAACAGUAAUGAUAUGAUGAAAAUGGGAAUACUGACGUUGACAAUGCCAAUAUAAUAUUUUUGUAUGUUAAGGCAUGUUUGUUCUCUGCUUUAAAGAAAGGGGGAUGUGUUGAUAUGUAGUGCAGUACCUUUGGUGACCAGCAGAGAGACCUGGAGGGUUGGGAGGAGGUAAAGACAAGGGGUAGGGAGACCGACGGCACAGAGCAGGUUGUGGGUUUGCAUGGAAGAUGUUGGUGGUUAAAUAAAAGUUCAUUGUUCAUGAAACAAGGUCUCUUCAAUGACAUAUGAACAGCACAAUGUAUCUCUUCCUUCUCAUGAUAAUCUGACUCGCCAAACAUGCCUCCAGCUCGCGUGAUGUGGCCGAGGGACUUGAGGAGAAUUAUACACUGACAGCAGUGGAGAUGAGAGCGCACUUGAAAUUAUCAGGUAAGAGAGGGUUAAUCGAGCAAAAUGUACAAUUAUUGGUCAGAAAAUGUCGGUCAAAUUUCUAAAUAAUUAUGGCGUACGAAUAAUGAUAUAUCCGUAAAUCGUAUUUUACCGAUUUAAAGAUGUUCAUUAUUCAUUGUAUUGUCACGCCCCCCUCGGGAGAAUGCAGCGGCAGCAGCCACACCUGAGUUACGUCAACUCCCUGUUUAGUUCUGCUUGGCGCUGCAUUAUAUGCAAGGUACUGUUGAGGGUUUUCAUAAGAAGUACAGGGCGGUCUUCCUCCUGUCUACCCCGAUCCGGUCCAUCCGCCUGCUUUGCUGCCAUUCCAUCCCAUCCCAUCCUGAUCCUCCCGGACCUCUUCCUUGUACUUGUCCUGCGUCUCGCAUGCCACCUG
This is a long non-coding RNA of Brienomyrus brachyistius, 3749 nucleotides long. RefSeq lists it as uncharacterized. Lineage: Eukaryota; Metazoa; Chordata; Actinopteri; Osteoglossiformes; Mormyridae. The record is from RefSeq and is a predicted model, not a curated record. The transcript is spliced from 4 exons.